UACAGAGGCCCCAAGCGUUACCCGGAAUCACUGGGCGUAAAGGGUGUGUAGGCGGUUAUGUUAGUCUCUUGUUAAAGCCCGGGGCUUAACUCCGGAAUCGCAAGAGAAACGGCAUAACUAGAGGACGCGAGAGGUCUAUGGAACUCAUGGUGUAGGGGUGAAAUCCGUUGAUAUCAUGGGGAACACCAAAAGCGAAAGCAAUAGGCUGGCGCGCUCCUGACGCUGAGACACGAAAGCGUGGGUAGCGAAUGGG
This 253-nucleotide unclassified non-coding RNA is filed under the name Streptomycetaceae bacterium. RNAcentral describes it as "partial 16S ribosomal RNA". It matches the Rfam family "Bacterial small subunit ribosomal RNA", at positions 524 to 776 of the family's 1533-position model. Lineage: Bacteria; Bacillati; Actinomycetota; Actinomycetes; Kitasatosporales; Streptomycetaceae. The record is from RNAcentral. RNAcentral also lists the same sequence under 1 other name.